UGGGGAAUUUGGACAAUGGGCGCAAGCCUGAUCCAGCCAUGCCGCGUGAGUGAUGAAGGCCUUAGGGUUGUAAAGCUCUUUCGCCGACGAAGAUAAUGACGGUAGUCGGAGAAGAAGCCCCGGCUAACUUCGUGCCAGCAGCCGCGGUAAUACGAAGGGGGCUAGCGUUGUUCGGAAUCACUGGGCGUAAAGCGCACGUAGGCGGAUUGUUAAGUCAGGGGUGAAAGCCUGGAGCUCAACUCCAGAACUGCCCUUGGUACUGGCAAUCUCGAGUCCGGAAGAGGUAAGUGGAACUGCGAGUGUAGAGGUGAAAUUCGUAGAUAUUCGCAAGAACACCAGUGGCGAAGGCGGCUUACUGGUCCGGUACUGACGCUGAGGUGCGAAAAGCGUGGGGAGCAAAACAGGAUUAGAUACCCUGGUAGUCCACGCCGUAAAACGAUGGAGGCUAGCCGUUGGCGAGCAUGCUCGUCAGUGGCGCAGCU
RNAcentral lists this ribosomal RNA (482 nucleotides) under uncultured bacterium. Its description in RNAcentral is "partial 16S ribosomal RNA". It matches the Rfam family "Bacterial small subunit ribosomal RNA", at positions 356 to 853 of the family's 1533-position model. The record is from RNAcentral.